UUCCGGUUGAUCCUGCCGGACCCGACUGCUAUUUGGGUGAGGAUAAGCCAUGCGAGUUGAAUGGGAAACCUAAAGUUCCCAUGGCAAACUGCUCAGUAACACAUGAUCAACUUACCCUAUAGAGAAAAAUAACCUCGGGAAACUGAGGAUAAUGUUUCAUAGUUGAAUUGGCUUGGAAAAGUUUUUCGACGAAAGGGGUAAAAAAAAUGGUUUUUAUCUGCUAUAGGAUAGGAUCGUGUUCGAUUAUGGUUGUUGGUGAGGUAAUGGCUCACCAAGCCGAUAAUCGAUAGGGGCCGUGAGAGCGGGAGCCCCGAGAUGGGUACUGAGACAACGACCCAGGCCUUACGAGGCGCAGCAGGCGCGAAACCUCCGCAAUACACGAAAGUGUGACGGGGUUACCCAAAGUGUUCAAUUUUGAACUGUGGUAGGUGAGUAAUGUUCCCUACUAGAAAGGAGAGGGCAAGGCUGGUGCCAGCCGCCGCGGUAAAACCAGCUCUUCAAGUGGUCGGGAUAAUUAUUGGGCUUAAAGUGUCCGUAGCCGGUUUAGUAAGUUCCUGGUAAAAUCGGGUAGCUUAACUAUCUAUAUGCUAGGAAUACUACUAUACUAGAGGGCGGGAGAGGUCUGAGGUACUACAGGGGUAGGGGUGAAAUCUUAUAAUCCUUGUUGGACCACCAGUGGCGAAGGCGUCAGACUGGAACGCGCCUGACGGUGAGGGACGAAAGCCAGGGGAGCGAACCGGAUUAGAUACCCGGGUAGUCCUGGCCGUAAACGAUGCAUACUAGGUGAUGGCACGGCCAUGAGCCGUGUCAGUGCCGUAGGGAAACCGUUAAGUGUGCCGCCUGGGAAGUACGGUCGCAAGGCCAAAACUUAAAGGAAUUGGCGGGGGAGCACCACAAGGGGUGAAGCCUGCGGUUCAAUUGGAUUCAACGCCGGA
This 935-nucleotide ribosomal RNA is filed under the name uncultured archaeon. RNAcentral describes it as "bacterial SSU rRNA". It matches the Rfam family "Archaeal small subunit ribosomal RNA", at positions 1 to 922 of the family's 1478-position model. The record is from RNAcentral.